This 429-nucleotide ribosomal RNA is filed under the name Chloroflexota bacterium. RNAcentral's name for it is "Chloroflexi bacterium partial 16S ribosomal RNA". It matches the Rfam family "Bacterial small subunit ribosomal RNA", at positions 355 to 776 of the family's 1533-position model. The record is from RNAcentral. Lineage: Bacteria; Bacillati; Chloroflexota.
UAGGGAAUCUUCGGCAAUGGACGAAAGUCUGACCGAGCAACGCCGCGUGAGUGAAGAAGGUUUUCGGAUCGUAAAACUCUGUUGUUAGAGAAGAACAAGGACGUUAGUAACUGAACGUCCCCUGACGGUAUCUAACCAGAAAGCCACGGCUAACUCCGUGCCAGCAGCCGCGGUAAUACGGAGGGUGCAAGCGUUAAUCGGAAUUACUGGGCGUAAAGCGCACGCAGGCGGUCUGUCAAGUCGGAUGUGAAAUCCCCGGGCUCAACCUGGGAACUGCAUUCGAAACUGGCAGGCUAGAGUCUUGUAGAGGGGGGUAGAAUUCCAGGUGUAGCGGUGAAAUGCGUAGAGAUCUGGAGGAAUACCGGUGGCGAAGGCGGCCCCCUGGACAAAGACUGACGCUCAGGUGCGAAAGCGUGGGGAGCAAACAGG